This is a long non-coding RNA of Capsicum annuum, 726 nucleotides long. RefSeq lists it as uncharacterized. The transcript is spliced from 3 exons. NCBI's taxonomy places the organism in Eukaryota, Viridiplantae, Streptophyta, Magnoliopsida, Solanales, Solanaceae. The record is from RefSeq and is a predicted model, not a curated record.
ACAAAAACUUGCAUUCUCUGUUUCCCUUUCCCUUUUGGGGCAUCAAUAAGAGAAAAGAAGUUAAUUACUUAUAAGAGGUCAAAAAGGAAAAUAUAAAGGAGAAAGGAUAUACUAGUCUUAAGGAAGAUAUAAACUAAAGGAUUUGGUGGCAGCCGCAAGGGAUUUGAAGAAUCUUUAAUUGCAAUUGAAUUCCAAAAGGUACAUGAUUUGUGCCUAUGAGCCUUGAGAUUUACAUGGAAAUAGCGUGCAGAUGAAGAGUAUAAGGCUCCGAUCCUCCUGAUCGCAGACAUCCACGUUAGGCUCUAUUGCCAUUUUCAGCUGAUAUUUUGGUAAGCACCAACUCUCUCUGGAGCCAGUCUAUGCCUAAUAUUUUUUAUUAUAUGUACAGGUCUCUAGUUGGGUAUAACGGGCCGGAUGCCAACUAGUCACUUGUAGUAUAAUGUGUUAAACUGACUAGAGGCUUCAUGGACAUUGUGUAGUAUUGUAUAGUUUUGUUAAUGUAAAUCCCUCGUGUAUAUAUGUAACUCUUAUUGAAUACCUUGCUCGUUAUUAUUCCAUAACCUCGCGUAUGUCACAGAGUGCUUGUAGAAUGUGUGUAUACGGUUCUUGUUCGUCCUUAAUUUGGGGCAUGACAUGGGACCACCAUUUCAAUAAUUCAAUUCAAAGAAAUUCUUUCUCAAACCUCAUGUAAACACAUGCUAUAAACUCAUCUUUGUCAAGCAUUUC